RNAcentral lists this ribosomal RNA (470 nucleotides) under Starmerella bombicola. RNAcentral's name for it is "partial large subunit ribosomal RNA". It matches the Rfam family "Eukaryotic large subunit ribosomal RNA", at positions 82 to 657 of the family's 3401-position model. Lineage: Eukaryota; Fungi; Ascomycota; Dipodascomycetes; Dipodascales; Trichomonascaceae. The record is from RNAcentral.
AGUACGGCGAGUGAACAGGCAAGAGCUCAGAUUUGAAAGCCUCUCGGGGCAUUGUAUUCUGAAGCCUUGAUUCUGAGAAACGGUACCUAAGUCUUCUGGAAAGGAGCGCCAAGGAGGGUGAUAGCCCCGUACGGUACUGACCUCAUUGUAGAAUCUUGGCGUGGAGUCGAGUUGUUUGGGAAUGCAGCUCAAAUGGGUGGUAUGCUCCAUCUAAAGCUAAAUAUCUGCGAGAGACCGAUAGCGAACAAGUACUGUGAAGGAAAGAUGAAAAGAACUUUGAAAAGAGAGUGAAAAAGUACGUGAAAUUGUUGAAAUGGAAGGAUAGGCCGCUAACCACGUAGAGCCGUGUCUGAGGGGAGGAUAAAAGCUGUAGAAUGUGACUCUUCGGAGUGUUAUAGCUGCAGUGCAUACUCCCACUCGGGCGCGAGGACCUAAGGCUCUGCUAAAUGGUGGUCUAUCACCCGUCUUGA